CAGGGGGGCCCCGUUCCCUUCGGGGGGGGGCACAGUAGGGAAUCUUCCACAAUGGGCGCAAGCCUGAUGGAGCAACACCGCGUGAGUGAAGAAGGGUUUCGGCUCGUAAAGCUCUGUUGUUAAAGAAGAACACGUAUGAGAGUAACUGUUCAUACGUUGACGGUAUUUAACCAGAAAGUCACGGCUAACUACGUGCCAGCAGCCGCGGUAAUACGUAGGUGGCAAGCGUUAUCCGGAUUUAUUGGGCGUAAAGAGAGUGCAGGCGGUUUUCUAAGUCUGAUGUGAAAGCCUUCGGCUUAACCGGAGAAGUGCAUCGGAAACUGGAUAACUUGAGUGCAGAAGAGGGUAGUGGAACUCCAUGUGUAGCGGUGGAAUGCGUAGAUAUAUGGAAGAACACCAGUGGCGAAGGCGGCUACCUGGUCUGCAACUGACGCUGAGACUCGAAAGCAUGGGUAGCGAACAGGAUUAGAUACCCUGGUAGUCCAUGCCGUAAACGAUGAGUGCUAGGUGUUGGAGGGUUUCCGCCCUUCAGUGCCGGAGCUAACGCAUUAAGCACUCGGCCCCGGGCUGCGUUUUCCAACGUCAUACCU
RNAcentral lists this ribosomal RNA (590 nucleotides) under Limosilactobacillus fermentum. RNAcentral's name for it is "bacterial SSU rRNA". It matches the Rfam family "Bacterial small subunit ribosomal RNA", at positions 319 to 873 of the family's 1533-position model. The record is from RNAcentral. Lineage: Bacteria; Bacillati; Bacillota; Bacilli; Lactobacillales; Lactobacillaceae.